GGGGGUAUAGCUCAGUUGGUAGAGCACCUGCUUUGCAAGCAGGAUGUCAGGAGUUCGAGUCUCCUUGCCUCCACCA
Molecule: transfer RNA, 76 nt
Filed under: Roseibacillus sp.
Lineage: Bacteria; Pseudomonadati; Verrucomicrobiota; Verrucomicrobiia; Verrucomicrobiales; Verrucomicrobiaceae
Description: tRNA-Ala
Rfam family: tRNA
About the family: Transfer RNA (tRNA) molecules are approximately 80 nucleotides in length. Their secondary structure includes four short double-helical elements and three loops (D, anti-codon, and T loops).
Source: RNAcentral